This 124-nucleotide ribosomal RNA is filed under the name Paenibacillus soyae. RNAcentral's name for it is "partial 23S ribosomal RNA". It matches the Rfam family "Bacterial large subunit ribosomal RNA", at positions 2794 to 2925 of the family's 2925-position model. Lineage: Bacteria; Bacillati; Bacillota; Bacilli; Caryophanales; Paenibacillaceae. The record is from RNAcentral.
CCCCCUCAAGAUGAGAUUUCCCAAUUAGUAAGACCCCUUGAAGACGACGAGGUUGAUAGGUUCGGGGUGGAAGCACGGCAACGUGUGGAGCUGACGAAUACUAAUCGGUCGAGGGCUUAUCCUA